CCUACGGGUGGCAGCAGUGGGGAAUAUUGCACAAUGGGGGAAACCCUGAUGCAGCGACGCCGCGUGAGUGAAGAAGUAUCUCGGUACGUAAAGCUCUAUCAGCAGGGAAGAAAAUGACGGUACCUGACUACGAAGCCCCGGCUAACUACGUGCCAGCAGCCGCGGUAAUACGGAAGGUCCGGGCGUUAUCCGGAUUUAUUGGGUUUAAAGGGAGCGUAGGCCGGCUUUUAAGUCAGCUGUGAAAGUCCGCGGCUCAACCGUGGAAUUGCAGUUGAAACUGGAGGCCUUGAGUGCACACAGGGAUGCCGGAAUUCAUGGUGUAGCGGGGAAAUGCGUAGAUAUUAGGAGGAACACCGGUGGCGAAGGCGGCUUACUGGACCGUAACUGACGUUGAGGCUCGAAAGCGUGGGGAGCAAACAGGAUUAGAUACCCUAGUAGUC
This 440-nucleotide ribosomal RNA is filed under the name uncultured bacterium. RNAcentral describes it as "partial 16S ribosomal RNA". It matches the Rfam family "Bacterial small subunit ribosomal RNA", at positions 338 to 795 of the family's 1533-position model. The record is from RNAcentral.